Molecule: long non-coding RNA, 565 nt
Filed under: Olea europaea subsp. europaea
Lineage: Eukaryota; Viridiplantae; Streptophyta; Magnoliopsida; Lamiales; Oleaceae
Source: RNAcentral
GCAGCACUAAAGCAAUGUUCCAAAUAUCAGAUAACAGUUACAGUAGUAAAAAUAAUAGUACAUUAUCAUUUCCACUAGGAUAACAAGAUUAACAAAUUGCUACAAAGUUAAGAAGCAGAGAAAAGAAAUUCAUAGACAGGUUUAUUCACAAUGUACAAUGUUAUUAAUGCUGAUGGGAAUGCCAAAGAAAAAUAUGAAGUCGACAUGGAACUAAAAUUUUGAUCUACGUCGAGGUAAAGUAUAAAGGGCAGGAACAAAUUGAAACUGUGGAUGAAGGUCAAAGCUUAAACUCAAAAAAUACUUCCAGACUAAUGACAGCUCAACCCCCAUUAGCAUGCUUCUGUCCCACGGACUUCAUAUCCAACUUCUCAACAUUCUUUAAAUUGCAUUCUCAUCACAACAUGAAAUAACAUUGUCAGAGUAGAUAAUAAUUUGAUACACAUAAUAGAAAGACUUGACGGGUAAUGGACAAUGCCUUCAAUAAAAUUCUUGAUGGCCAUGCAUUAUUUAACUCUUAACAAGUCUAUUGAGGAAAAUACUCUUGAUCUCCUUGACAAACUCCAAG